AAACUCAAUAGAGUUAUUUUUGGUGGGACUUGGAACAAAAAAUAAUCAGCAACAACUGAACGGGCCUUUUCAGUUAUGAAGAUUAUUAAAACAAGGCUUCGAAACAAGAUGGAAGAUGAAUUUUUAGCAGAUUGUAUGAUUGUAUAUAUUGAAAAGGAAAUUGCUUCAAAAUUCACUUCAGAGAUGAUAAUUGAUGAUUUUAGUUCCAUGAAGCAUCGUCGAGCAAGUUUAAAAAUAUCAAAAUCUUAAAG
Arachis ipaensis is the source of this 251-nucleotide non-coding RNA. The record is from RefSeq and is a predicted model, not a curated record. Lineage: Eukaryota; Viridiplantae; Streptophyta; Magnoliopsida; Fabales; Fabaceae.